RNAcentral lists this transfer RNA (50 nucleotides) under Rhigonema thysanophora. RNAcentral describes it as "tRNA-Ser". Lineage: Eukaryota; Metazoa; Nematoda; Chromadorea; Rhabditida; Rhigonematidae. The record is from RNAcentral.
AAUAAAUUUUAUCUGUCUUCUAAACUGAUUUUAGGAUUUCCUAUUUAUUU